Long non-coding RNA from Bos taurus (domestic cattle), 1190 nucleotides. The record is from Ensembl. NCBI's taxonomy places the organism in Eukaryota, Metazoa, Chordata, Mammalia, Artiodactyla, Bovidae.
AGAGCCUGGGAGAUAGGGACACCCUCUUCUAGAUGAUUACAUCUCAAAGAGAUGGCUCCCAGAGCCUUGAGAAAGACAUUCCUGGGUUGUAAAACUGGCAAGAGGCCAGGAAAAGAUUUAUAUCUCAAAAGGUCUGAGGAAGAAUUUACAACUGCAAGUUUUCUAAAGUUAAUGCUCUAAGAAAAGGAAGAGAGAGAGAGAAAGAACAUCAUGGACGUUUCACAGGAGCUGAGAAGGGCCACAGGGGCAGGCCAAGCAAUGAGGUUUGCAGCCCUGAAAUGUUGCAAGUUGACUAGCCAAGCCUGCCAGAGCAUUUACAAGCUGAAGUGUGAUGAGCUUCUAUCCUGUGAGCUGAUGCUUUCAAAAGCAAGCUGAAAUUAAUACAGGAACUUCGCUUCCCAUGUGAUUUAAUCCAAGUCUGGGCUCACAGUGGAAAAAUGUGGAAACAGUGCUCAAGUGAAAAGGAUCGACAAGAAAACAAUACCAAAAAAAGAAAGAGAAAAAAAAAAUAAGCAAGAAUCACUGUUGUCUUCCACGUUAAAUCAAUACAGUACAUUGUUAUUCUGUCCUUUUAUCGAAAUUCUAGUCUCUCAGAAAAAGCAUCUCAGCACAGCAGUACAGUGCUGCCAGCUCCUUCACAAUGGAUUUUUUCUGGUGUUAAAUAUGAUACCAUUUGAAGCAACUCAGCACCCUCUCAAACUUGUCCCUAGGGAUUCCAACUUCAAAGAGAUUGUCCACACUAGCAAGCAACAGCAGAAUCUGCAAACUCCGGUUUGGUAAAUUGGCUAAAUCCUGCCUCUGCAGUAUCUACUCAAGGACUGUGAUCUGCAGAUAGCUCUCGUCAGCUUUAACGAAGCAGAUGAGGGCUGAUGAACACCAAUCAAACAGCUAUCAUUAUUUUUUGAAAACAGUAAAUGCAGAAACAAGUAACACAUGAGUAUUCAUUUGCUUCAAAUGUAUGACUUAUUAUUAAAGGCAAGAUAAGGAUGUUUUUAUUUGAAUUCUUAACAGUUUAAAAAUACAGACAGUUCUAACAAGAUUACCAGAACAACACAUUUAAAGGAUAGAAAGUUCAGGAAUAACUGUAACAAAAUGCAAACUAAACUGGAAGUAGGAAAUAGAGCAAACACUGUCCACACAGGAUUUGAUGCAGGAUAUCCAAAAAUAUUUUAGAGGGAAACUACCCCUCU